GAUGAAGAACGCAGCGAAAUGCGAUAAGUAAUGUGAAUUGCAGAAUUCAGUGAAUCAUCGAAUCUUUGAACGCACCUUGCACCCUUUGGCAUUCCGAAGGGUAUGCUCGUUUGAGUGUCAUUGUACUCUCACACUCCCAAUUGCUUUGGAUUGGGAGCGGUGGACUUGGGUGUUGCUGCUUGACUGAGGCUCACCUGAAAUAUGUUAGUGCACCUCUUGAUUGGACAUAGUACGGCGUGAUAAGUGUCUUCGCCGGCUCCUCGCAAAGAGGGUGGCCGAUCGGGAGCUCUGUUGCUUUAAACUGUCUUCGGACAAUCUUCUGGCGACUUGACCUCAAAUCGAGUAGGACUACCCGCUGAACUUAAGCAUAUCAAUAAGCGGAGGA
This 385-nucleotide unclassified non-coding RNA is filed under the name soil metagenome. Its description in RNAcentral is "partial contains 5.8S ribosomal RNA, internal transcribed spacer 2, and large subunit ribosomal RNA". The stretch from base 1 to 120 matches the Rfam family "5.8S ribosomal RNA", at positions 35 to 154 of the family's 154-position model. The record is from RNAcentral.